UUGCCAGACUCCUACGGGAGGCAGCAGUGGGGAAUAUUGCACAAUGGGGGAAACCCUGAUGCAGCGACGCCGCGUGAGUGAAGAAGUAUUUCGGUCUGUAAAGCUCUAUCAGCAGGGAAGAAGAAGGACGGUACCUGAGUAAGAAGCCCCGGCUAACUACGUGCCGGCAGCCGCGGUAAUACGUAGGGGGCAAGCGUUAUCCGGAUUUACUGGGUGUAAAGGGAGCGUAGACGGCGAAGAAAGUCUGAAGUGAAAGCCCGCGGCUCAACCGCGGAAUGGCUUUGGAAACUUUUUUGCUGGAGUACCGGAGAGGUAAGCGGAAUUCCUAGUGUAGCGGUGAAAUGCGUAGAUAUUAGGAGGAACACCAGUGGCGAAGGCGGCCUGCUGGACAGUAACUGACGUUGAGGCUCGAAAGCGUGGGGAGCAAACAGGAUUAGAUACCCCCGUAAC
Molecule: ribosomal RNA, 450 nt
Filed under: uncultured bacterium
Lineage: Bacteria
Description: bacterial SSU rRNA
Rfam family: Bacterial small subunit ribosomal RNA
Source: RNAcentral